GUGAACGCUGGCGGUAGGCCUAACACAUGCCAGUCGAACGGCAGCACCGUAAGAGCUUGCUCUUACGGGUGGCGCGUGGCGGACGGGUGAGGAAUACAUCGGAAUCUACUUUUUCGUGGGGGAUAACGUAGGGAAACUUACGCUAAUACCGCAUACGACCUACGGGUGAAAGCAGGGGAUCUUCGGACCUUGCGCGAUUGAAUGGGCCGAUGUCGGAUUAGCUAGUUGGCGGGGUAAAGGCCCACCAAGGCGACGAUCCGUAGCUGGUCUGAGAGGAUGAUCAGCCACACUGGAACUGAGACACGGUCCAGACUCCUACGGGAGGCAGCAGUGGGGAAUAUUGGACAAUGGGCGCAAGCCUGAUCCAGCCAUACCGCGUGGGUGAAGAAGGCCUUCGGGUUGUAAAGCCCUUUUGUUGGGAAAGAAAAGCAGCAGGUUAAUACCCCGCUGUUCUGACGGUACCCAAAGAAUAAGCACCGGCUAACUUCGUG
Molecule: ribosomal RNA, 491 nt
Filed under: uncultured bacterium
Lineage: Bacteria
Description: partial 16S ribosomal RNA
Rfam family: Bacterial small subunit ribosomal RNA
Source: RNAcentral